UACAACAUAGAAUUAUUGCACCAGAUCCCAUUAUAAUUUCGUAGUUAAGUGCGCUUAGGCUAGAGUAGUACUGGGUUGGGUGACCACUGGGGAAGUCCUGGUGUUUUAU
This is a non-coding RNA of Picea glauca (white spruce), 109 nucleotides long. Lineage: Eukaryota; Viridiplantae; Streptophyta; Pinopsida; Pinales; Pinaceae. The record is from Rfam.